CCCCAGGUGGUGGAAUGGUAGACACAAGGGACUUAAAAUCCUUUGGCAGCAAUGCCGUACGAGUUCGAGUCUCGUUCUGGGGA
This 83-nucleotide transfer RNA is filed under the name Candidatus Ornithospirochaeta stercoripullorum. RNAcentral's name for it is "tRNA-Leu". It matches the Rfam family "tRNA". From Rfam's summary of the family: Transfer RNA (tRNA) molecules are approximately 80 nucleotides in length. Their secondary structure includes four short double-helical elements and three loops (D, anti-codon, and T loops). The record is from RNAcentral. Lineage: Bacteria; Pseudomonadati; Spirochaetota; Spirochaetia; Spirochaetales; Spirochaetaceae.